This 398-nucleotide ribosomal RNA is filed under the name Massisteria sp. RNAcentral describes it as "partial small subunit ribosomal RNA". It matches the Rfam family "Eukaryotic small subunit ribosomal RNA", at positions 582 to 975 of the family's 1831-position model. The record is from RNAcentral. Lineage: Eukaryota; Cercozoa; Massisteriidae.
AUUCCAGCUCCAGUAGCGUAUAUUAAAGUUGUUGCAGUUAAAAAGCUCGCAGUUGGAUUUCUGGCGUGGUGCGCCCGGCCCGAUACCGCUAAGGUGUCGAGUGCCGGCGCGCGCCUGCCAUCCUUCCGGAGAGCGUGCCUACCCUUCACUGGGCCGGGUACGCGAUCUGGAUCGUUUACUUUGAAAAAAUUAGAGUGUUUAAAGCAGGCUUACGCUUCUGAAUACAUUAGCAUGGAAUAAUAAGAUAGGACUUUGGUUCUAUUUUGUUGGUUUCUAGAACUAAAGUAAUGAUUGAUAGGGACAGUUGGGGGUGCUAGUAUUUAACGGCCAGAGGUGAAAUUCUUGGAUUCGUUAAAGACUAACUAAUGCGAAAGCAUUCACCAAGGAUGUCUUCAUUG